This 420-nucleotide ribosomal RNA is filed under the name Triticum aestivum (bread wheat). RNAcentral's name for it is "partial small subunit ribosomal RNA". Lineage: Eukaryota; Viridiplantae; Streptophyta; Magnoliopsida; Poales; Poaceae. The record is from RNAcentral.
AUGGUGGUCACGGAGUAUAUUUCCAAAGGAAAUCUAAGUGACUUCCUUCACAAGGAUAGCAUUCCCAUCACUUUGGAUACACGGCUAAGAAUUGCCAUUGAUUGUGCAGAAGCAUUGGCCUAUAUGCAUUCACAAAUGUAUACUCAGGUCAUUCAUGGUGAUAUCAAGCCUGAUAAUAUACUUCUGGAUGAUGGACUCAGAGCAGAAAUAUCAGACUUUGGAAUAUCAAGACUAGUCAACACUGAAAAUACUCUAUAUACUCUAAAUAAUAUAGGAAGUAUCGGCUACAUGGACCCUCUGUUUGCUCAGAAUGGUCGCCUCACAGCAAAGAGUGAUGUUUAUAGUUUUGGAAUUGUACUCCUGGAACUGAUCACUAGAAAGCAGUGCAAGACCAGAGGAUGGGGAGAUUGGCUUGGUUGA